This 1678-nucleotide long non-coding RNA is filed under the name Cyanistes caeruleus (blue tit). RNAcentral describes it as "lncRNA (ENSCCEG00000018945.1)". Lineage: Eukaryota; Metazoa; Chordata; Aves; Passeriformes; Paridae. The record is from RNAcentral.
AAUGUUAUGCUUUCAAGAAGGGGACAGAGGGGAGAAAAACUGCAGGCAGUAGAGAUAAAGCCAGGCAGAAUUAUGGAAAGGCGAUAUUUAAUAGUUCACCAAUCGUGUUUUCAAGGUGUGUUACCCCUAGAGCUGAAUUAAAUAUUGAUCUUUUUUUGUUUGUUUGUUUAAAAACAAAAAUUAAAAUAGAAAAAUAGGCAUGAACCCAAGCAUCCCCCACCACCAAAAAAUUUAAAUGUUGGCUGCUGCCCCUCCUGUUUCUCACACCUGAACGAGUGCAUCCCCCCCUUUUUAGGCUGCCUGUGUCUGUUCCUGUUUGGCAUCCCCUGGCAACCCCUUCCCAAUGUCUCUGCCCAGGGCUUGGACACCCCACUGCUUCCUGGGGCUGGGCUGAGAGCCCAGCAAGGGAAAUCAGGAAUUUUUUCCUGAUCCUUUUCAUCAGGGAUGUGUUUUACCAUCCACACAGGAAUUUUUUACUAGCACAACUGCAAAUCUAAUGAGGAACUCAUGCAACUGAGCUAUGAUGGGGAGGUGCAGGAGGCAAAGGACAGGGAGCUUCUUAUACCAACUUCACCUCUAAAAGCUGCAACGGGUCCUUUUGACACUGCAUUAAUACUGCAUUAAUACUAUUAUACUUAAUUAAUUAAUAUUAUAAUAACAAUAACCAUCCCUGAAUGGUCUAGCUCUUUUGAGGAGGUAUCAGCUUUGAUAAUUUUUAAAUUUGUCUGAGGCAGCUUGGAAUUGCCUCCAAAAGGCUCUCUAUAAAGCCAGAUUGUAUUGCAUUUAAUACAUAUGCUUUUAGCCCUUUCUUCCCUGAUUUUCUUGGACUUUGAUUGAUAUUUCUGUAGAGGACUUUAUUUUUAUUUUUUCUCUUUUUAAGUGCCUGUGCUGGCUCACAAGUGACUCAGUACUUGAUCAAUACUGCUGGUGGCUGUUGGUGCAGCCACUGAUGGGAAGCUGGAGGAGAAUUAUUCCGGUGAAAGCCUCCGAGAAAAAUCAGUCAGAGAAGGCUGCCCCGUGCCAUGGAUGCUGUCCUCCACACCCUGUGCACCAUCCAUCUUCCCAACUAUGUGCUGUCACUUCUUCCAGGAAGGGGCAGAUUAAAAAAAAAUUGGUCAUGACAGGGGCUCUUUGUUAAAUGGAAACUGUUUUAGUGGAAAAACAGCAGCCUGUGUCCCUCACCGAGCACUUAGAGGUAAUGUUUGUACAUUUAAAUGGGGAGGAAAAGGUGUGGGGCCAAAUUUUGGGGAGCCCCUGGUUAAAGCCUUGGCAGCACACUGAAAACGUGUCACCCCUGGGUUAAAGGCAGCCCUGAGAAACCUGACAGCCCAGGUGAAACCAGCCAGAAGUGACUUCUCCCGUCCUCCUCAGGAGGGAAGAUAAAUGUCAUCAGUCAUCAGCCGUCACAGCUUAUACAAGGCACAUUUUUCUCUGCCUGCUGCUGAGCUGGAACCGCUCUGGAGGGAGAAGGGAAAGCACGGGGAGGGCGAAGGGGAGCUGUGAAUCCUAAACUUCUCCCGUCCCUUGGGUGGCUCUGUCAAUGCUGGUAGAAAAAUGUGAGUAAAGCUGGGGGGAAACAAAGCGUUUCCCCCAGGCAGCCAAAGCAGGGAGGUAAAUGAGUGCAAAAAAAAACCCCAAAAACCCUCCCAGAAGUUAUCCCAGUUGCUUCUCACCCAGC